CCCAGGACUGUAGACACAAGAAGAUUAUAGGUUUUCCUGUUUUCUCUUUCCUUUCCUUUUUCUCUUCCCUUUUCCCUGGAAUGUGCUGCCAACACUUGACGAGUCCUGAAGACUCCACGACGACACCAUGGAACCCUGCUGAUGAAGAUCUUUCGAGGGCAAUCGUCAGUCACGGGGUGGUGUAAGAGCCCGUCUGAAGCCCCUCAUUUUCCAUUCUGCCUUCCGAUUGCCACGAGAAAGAAUCCCUUCCUCCACUGCAGUUCCGGCUUAGAACAGGACACAGUGCAGGUGCAACCACUGAACCGUCAUGCUAGCUGUUCCGAACAAGGCCUGGCAAGAACUUGGCAAGGACUUGGCAAGGACCUGACGUGGACUCAGCACGGGACAGCCUGAUGCGCGGCCUGCUUCUAAUCUCCGUUCUUAAGCCAAAUGAACUUUUGGGGUGACUCCCGGGGUCCUUCAUUGAAGACCCCUCAUCUGCCUCGUUACCACUGUGACAAACAAAGAAUGAGAACCCUCCUCCCAAGGACUGAGACUGAGACCCCUGCUAUAGGGAGGAGGGGAAAUUGGUGGUCUGACCACUAAUGACAUGACCUGUUUCCCUUCAGUGAUUCAAAUGGACUCAUUCUUCAUUGGAUUCGUCUUGCUUUGGUGGUUUCUGUGGACUCAGCUGUUCCCGCGUGGCGAUUACAAUGGACUUUCGUUGUUCCACUUGCUCCCCCCUCUUUCCUCUGUGGACUAUAACUGGAGCCCCGAGUCGACCAGAACUUCGGAGACUCCCCCGACACGACAGACAGAACCCCAUCAUCCGGACCACUGAGGAUCGCGCCUGUGUUGGUAGCUAUUCCCAUACCCCUCUUCUCUCUCUCUCUCUCCUUUUAUCUCCUUUCCGAUCCCCACUAUCGCAUUUACUGGUUUGGCCCCUAAUAAAGGUGCAUUUGUUGUGAUUAA
Vidua chalybeata is the source of this 951-nucleotide long non-coding RNA. RefSeq lists it as uncharacterized. NCBI's taxonomy places the organism in Eukaryota, Metazoa, Chordata, Aves, Passeriformes, Viduidae. The transcript is spliced from 2 exons. The record is from RefSeq and is a predicted model, not a curated record.